AUGGCUCACAACGCGGCCGCCGCAGUUGAUCACGGCGAAGGCAUCCGGACGUCGUCGAGGUGCGUCACGGAGGGCGCGACACACGAUUUCGAGGUGACCAACUACCCGCUGCUCGAGGGCAUGGGCGUCGGAACGUACAUUAGCUCGAGCACGUUCACUGUCGGCGGCUACGACUGGAACGUCAGUGGUUUAAGAGCAGUUUGCAAAACACUGAAGGAGUAUUAUUGUUGUCCAGCCCCAGCAAAGUGGUAUCAGAGCCUUGGUUUGCUUGUACAAAUUGCUGAAUUUCUUGUGGUGAAAGAUGGAAGUGAAUACCAGCAGGAUGAUAUCUUUGAAUGGUACAAAUUAUCAAGCAUGGAAGGGCAAGCGCGCAUGGCCGGGGCAGGGCUCGCGAACCAUCUCCUUCCUCCUCGCUUGGGCGCCAUGGCCACCACCCUCGCAAGAUCCAGCCCAUCUCCGCCGCGUCCGCCGAGUGGGCGUUCCGGCGGACCCGGUCGGCGCCGUCGCUCGCCGCCGAGUACGCGGGCGGCCCGCUCAAGCGCUGGUGGGACGGGCGCCAUGCGCCAGGUCCAGAAGCCAUGGCUGGUCGAGUUGCUCGACACGCCCGGUAGGCCGUGCUGGCCCUGCUCCUGCCGCAGCCCAGGGCGGAGCGCCUGGUCUCCGGCGAAGGGGAUGGAGUCCACGCUGUUGUCCGUGGCGGCGAGCAGCGCCGUGGCGAGGGCGGCGAGUAGGAGGACCGAGGGCGGAGGCGGCGAGCGGCAGGCAAGCCGAAGGCGGCCUGCCCUGCGAAAUUGGAAGAGUUAUUUGCCCGAAAAGAAGCUUUCUUCAAUGCGAAUAACAUUUGAAGAGGAAGUGACAGCUUUGCUGCUGCUAGGCUCAUUACCGGACAGCUGGGAGACCUUUAAGGUCACGGUUUGCAAUUCAACACCUAAUGGAGUUGUCACUUGGAAUCUUGUGAAAACCAGGGUACUAAAUGAAGAGUCCAGAAAGGUGGCUGAAGCUAGUUCUUCCUCACAUUUAGAGGUGUUGGUCACUCAGUCCAGGGUGAGAAGCAAGAGUAGAGGUCCAGGUAAAGGGGCAGAAAGAGGUAGGAGCAAAUCUAAAAGUAAGUAUGCUGAUUAUGAGUGCCAUCACUGCCAUCAGAAGGGCCACAUUAAGUGGCAAUGUGACAAGUGGAAGAAAGACAAAAAGAAAACGAAGAAGCAAGAUCAGAAGCUAGUUGACAGUGAUAGUGACAUAGAGGGCAACCGAGUUACUGCAGUAGAAGAGGACAUCAUGCUUGUUAUGCAUGAAGAAAAUGAGGGCAGAUUUGGUUCCACUGUUGAGGAGAAGAUCACUGUUGUUUCUGAUGAAACCGUCAACCUUGUGGAUGGUGACGAGAUGAUUUGGAUACCGGACAGCGACAAUGUUCAAGCUGGUGGUUCGAGGCUCAAACGUGCUUGGAUCGACCCCAAACUUGGUGAGCUCGUUCCUUACUUUGGGUACUUCGAUCUGGUUAGCUGGUUUGAGGAUUGGGUCAGUGGAGCAUCAGAUUUGAGAGUGGUUUUGUCAGCUCUGACUGCUGCAGUUUCAGAACAGAGUAGUUUUGGGAGACGAACAGUUUGGCUGUCCUCAAAGUUCAUCACAAGUGGAGGGGGCUGUGUAGUGUGCAUAUUUGCCAUGUUAGUGAAUUUGUGCAGCGCAUUGUUGCUGUACAGCCCCAACAAGGUUCUACCCGAACGGAGACAGGAAGGACGCUGCCGGCCACGCGUCAGCCUUCUUGUGUUAUCUCAGCCCGGUCAAGGACAUGGUGAUGACAAGCUUCACCUUAAGCAUGUUGGACGAUCAAGGCAACAAAAUGAUACCUGGGGCAUUGGAAAAUUCAUGGAGAUAUCGAAGCUGAAAUCGUCGUCACCUCACCUCCUAACGAUAAGGUGCGUGCUCACUAUGAUCAAAGAACCACCCUCGGAGUGCAAGAGCAAUCUUAUUGUGGAGCCUCUGCCGAACCUGCCCGGACGCCUCCACCACGCCCUCAAGGAUGGGAAGGGCGCAGACGUCACGCUCCUCGUGGGCGGCACGGAGUUUAGCGCACAUAGGUUCAUGCUUGCCGCACAGUCCCCGGUUUUCGACACUCAGCUCUUCGGUACGAUGAUGGAUAAGAACACAUCGUGCAUGGAGAUUGUUGACAUGGAGCCGGCCAUCUUCGAGAUGCUUCUUCACUGCGUCUACACGGAUUCACUGCAAUCGUGCAGUGACGGUGAUUACGAUGCAGCCACACUGCAGCAUUUGCUAGUCGCCGCGGUCCGGUACGGGCUGGACAGGUUGAAGGUGAUGUUUGAAGGGAGGUUGUGCAAAAGCAUCGACGAGGACACCAUCAUGAGUACAUUGGCGCUAGCAAAUCAGCACUCCUGCGAGCGGCUCAAGAAUGCCUGCUUGGAGUUUUUAUUGUCAUUGCGGGAAGCCAUUGUUGCAGUCAUGAACACCGACGGCAAUCUCUGCUGCUCAGUUUCAUCCCUUUCUGAGGUAGAAAACCCAUCCAUAUAUGUACGAGUGAGAGAUGUCUUCCUUCCCGGAGAACCGUCUUCUCUCCCUCCUUAG
Molecule: ribosomal RNA, 2577 nt
Filed under: Triticum aestivum (bread wheat)
Lineage: Eukaryota; Viridiplantae; Streptophyta; Magnoliopsida; Poales; Poaceae
Description: partial small subunit ribosomal RNA
Source: RNAcentral